UACAGAGGGUGCGAGCGUUAAUCGGAAUUACUGGGCGUAAAGGGCGCGUAGGCGGGUGGAUAAGUUAGGUGUGAAAGUCCAGGGCUUAACCUUGGGAUUGCAUUUAAUACUGUUCAUCUUGAGUGAAGUAGAGGGUAGCGGAAUUUCCGGUGUAGCGGUGAAAUGCGUAGAUAUCGGAAAGAACACCGGUGGCGAAGGCGGCUACCUGGACUUUAACUGACGCUGAGGCGCGAAAGCGUGGGGAGCAAACAGG
Molecule: ribosomal RNA, 253 nt
Filed under: uncultured bacterium
Lineage: Bacteria
Description: partial 16S ribosomal RNA
Rfam family: Bacterial small subunit ribosomal RNA
Source: RNAcentral